CAAGAUAUAGCAUAUAAAUAAUGCCUCUUAUUUACACUAAGAAAAAAAUACCAUAUUUAUCUUGC
RNAcentral lists this transfer RNA (65 nucleotides) under Lumbriculus variegatus. Its description in RNAcentral is "tRNA-Val". Lineage: Eukaryota; Metazoa; Annelida; Clitellata; Lumbriculida; Lumbriculidae. The record is from RNAcentral.